RNAcentral lists this ribosomal RNA (255 nucleotides) under uncultured bacterium. RNAcentral's name for it is "partial 16S ribosomal RNA". It matches the Rfam family "Bacterial small subunit ribosomal RNA", at positions 524 to 776 of the family's 1533-position model. The record is from RNAcentral.
UACGGAGGGUGCAAGCGUUGUUCGGAUUUACUGGGCGUAAAGCGCGCGCAGGCGGGUGGACAAGUCGGAAGUGAAAUCCCAGGGCUCAACCCUGGGGCUGCUCCCGAAACUGUUCGCCUAGGGACUGGUAGAGGCUGGUAGAAUUCCCGGUGUAGCGGUGGAAUGCGUAGAGAUCGGGAAGAAUACCUGUGGCGAAGGCGGCCUGCUGGGCAGUUUUGCUGACACUGAGGCGCGACAGCGUGGGGAGCAAACAGG